CAGUAGCCGCGGGAAUACGAAGGGGGCUAGCGUUGCUCGGAAUGACUGGGCGUAAAGGGCGCGUAGGCGGUUUGUCGAGUUAGAUGUGAAAUUCCCGGGCUUAACCUGGGGACUGCAUUUGAUACUGGCAGGCUUGAGUGUGGAAGAGGGUCGUGGAAUUCCCAGUGUAGAGGUGAAAUUCGUAGAUAUUGGGAAGAACACCGGUGGCGAAGGCGGCGACCUGGUCUUUUACUGACGCUGAGGCGCGAAAGCGUGGGGAGCAAACAGGAUUAGAUACCCCGGUAGUCCCUGUCUCUUAUAA
RNAcentral lists this ribosomal RNA (301 nucleotides) under uncultured bacterium. RNAcentral's name for it is "partial 16S ribosomal RNA". It matches the Rfam family "Bacterial small subunit ribosomal RNA", at positions 509 to 809 of the family's 1533-position model. The record is from RNAcentral.